GAAAGGACCUCAAAAGGUAUAAUCGCAAAGGUGGUUUUCCUAGGGCGAGGCUUAUUAUCCAUUGUACUCCAUAUGUGCUGACCCCUUGCAAGCUCCCCAAAUGCGGGAAAGUACAUAAUUUGUGGUAGUGGGCGACUGCGUUCAGAACACAGCCCCAUC
Molecule: small nuclear RNA, 159 nt
Filed under: Jaculus jaculus (lesser Egyptian jerboa)
Lineage: Eukaryota; Metazoa; Chordata; Mammalia; Rodentia; Dipodidae
Description: U1 spliceosomal RNA (ENSJJAG00000005465.1)
Source: RNAcentral